GGUGUUAAUACCUCAGUGGGAACUGAAACUAGUUGCUUCACUCUUUUAAAGUGUGAUCAGCAGAUGCCUUUGCAGUCCAGACACCUGUCCUAUGAACAUCAGUUUGCUGCAGAUACCGGUGAUAUCAGCAGGAUGCAGGCGCCGGCUUCUAGCACCAAUUAGCUCACAGUAAGAUGUGCGACGCACUCCUGACGCGGCUGUUCCAGGAAGCCGCCGUGCUUUCCAUAUUCCCCUGGACACGCAACCUCAUCGUCCAUGAAUGUAUGAAGCACAGUGCUAAAGGUUCUGCAAACAUAAAGGAUGUGUGUGCGUGGAAGAUCCAGUGAUGCUGCAGGCUGAUGGAGGACAGCCAGGAAUGAAUCACAUCACCCUCAUAAGUGCAACCUUUCUCUGAAUAUUGCCAAUAAAUAGCAAUAAUCAGUACUGAUUGACACCUUUAUAUAUUCAAGUUUAAUAAAUACACAUCAGAACAUUAAAAAUUGUCCAAAUGUUUUCCACAGGUG
This is a long non-coding RNA of Larimichthys crocea (large yellow croaker), 503 nucleotides long. RefSeq lists it as uncharacterized. The record is from RefSeq and is a predicted model, not a curated record. NCBI's taxonomy places the organism in Eukaryota, Metazoa, Chordata, Actinopteri, Sciaenidae. The transcript has 3 exons.